CAGAGGGUGAGGAUCUGUUCUUUGGGGGGCUGACUUUCUCCCAGACUUUAUAAGUAGAAGAAAAGUGAAGAGUAGGCAAACUGAGAGUUUAGCCUCCGUCUUUUUGCUGAUUAGUCGAUCUCUAAUGAGCUGCUACAAGUUACGUAUUUACUUCAUUGAGCUGAAUCAUAGUCCCAAUGAUCUAGGUUUGGAAAUCACAAAAUUAAAUGGAACGGCAUUCAAAUGCAUGCAUAAAAGUUGGGAAAACAGUUCUAAACAAAGUCCUUUGGCUCCCCCUGGAAAGUAUGCCAACUCAGCCCCACGACUCCUGUUUACAUACACCUUUGCACCAACUUGAUUAACUCUCGUAUCCAGACCUCUGACAGCAAGCAAAUGCCGGUUUGGGCCACAUUGAGAGAUAAAGCAACUCUAGAUUCAUGAGAUCAUUCUAUUACUAAUAAAUAGGGGAAAUUGUUCAUAGUGAUAUAAGCAAUUACCUUGUAAUGGAGAUCCUCAAAAAAAUAACUAGUUCUAUACAUACAGAGAAACACUAGUAUGCACCAAAAACUACAGGGGAGAUUGACCAAAUCCAUCCAAAAGGUAAGUAUAUGCUGCGCAGUCUGCAUUGCAAUGGCAUCCUUUUCCUCUAGCCUUGACAUUUGCACAGUUAGUAAAUAGGCAUCGUUCUACAUCUCCAAAAUGACCUCUAGGAGAAGUUACAACAUCAAUGACUUCAAGAUCCUCGAGAAACUUCCUUUCAGAAUUUGAACAUGACAAACAAACAUCACAAGAAGAAACAAUUACAACACCAAGAUGCAUAAUCCAGUUCUUCUUUCACCGACUCAACUCCUCGUAAAAAACUAGAAAAAUUGUGCUUCAAUAAAAGUAACACACAACACAAGUCUUUGAACAUCACAAACAAACAUCACCAGAAGAAACAAUUAUAACACCAAGAUGCAUAAUCCAGUUCUUCUUUCACCAACUCAACUCCUCGUAAAAAAAUAGAAAAAUUGUGCUUCAAUAAAGGUAACACACAACACAAGUCUUUGAACAUCACAAACAAACAUCACCAGAAGAAACAAUUAUAACACCAAGAUGCAUAAUCCAGUUCUUCUUUCACCAACUCAACUCCUCGUAAAAAAAUAGAAAAAUUGUGCUUCAAUAAAAGUAACACGCAACACAAGUCUUUGAACAUCACAAACAAACAUCACCAGAAGAAACAAUUAUAACACCAAGAUGCAUAAUCCAGUUCUUCUUUCACCGACUCAACUCCUCAUAAAAAACUAGAAAAAUUGUGCCUCAAUAAAGGUAGCACACAACGCAAGUCUUUGACAUUGACAGUUCCAUGUAAUAGCCACAGCAAUUACCGAGAAAACAGUACAUGGGCUAAGAUAUUCAAAGUUUAAGCCGAUAACCUGAAGAAAGCUUUCUGGACUGAAGUUCCUAUGUCACCAGCUGCAUAUGCUUCAUGCUUACACACUUGUUGAUGGAGAUACUUGGCACAGAACUUAGCAACAACUUUACCUGAAAUAUGGUAAUCAUACUAGAAGUUCCAUAAAUCUAAUUCCCUGUUUUUCCCCCUUCAAUUACAGUUUACUUAAUAUAGUCAGGCACUAGCAUAUAGUGUCAUCUACUUAAUUAGUAGCAUCAGAUGUCAAAGCUUUCGACUAAAAACCAAUUUCAGAAUCCUAGGAAGCUGAAAGCU
Molecule: long non-coding RNA, 1684 nt
Filed under: Coffea arabica (coffee)
Lineage: Eukaryota; Viridiplantae; Streptophyta; Magnoliopsida; Gentianales; Rubiaceae
Description: long non-coding RNA (CARA_LNC008217)
Source: RNAcentral